Molecule: ribosomal RNA, 253 nt
Filed under: uncultured bacterium
Lineage: Bacteria
Description: partial 16S ribosomal RNA
Rfam family: Bacterial small subunit ribosomal RNA
Source: RNAcentral
GACGUAGGAGGCGAGCGUUAUCCGGAUUCACUGGGCGUAAAGCGCAUGUAGGCGGUUGGAUAAGUCCGUUGUUAAAGCCCCUGGCUCAACUGGGGGAGGUCAAUGGAGACUAUUCGACUUGAGGGCAACAGAGGCACAUGGAACUCCCGGUGUAGCGGUGGAAUGCGCAGAUAUCAGGAAGAACACCAACGGCGAAGGCAGCUCGCUGGGACGGUACUGACGCUGAGACGCGAAAGCGUGGGGAGCGAACAGG